UACCAGCACCCCGAGUGGUCGGGACGAUUAUUGGGCCUAAAGCAUCCGUAGCCGGUUCUACAAGUCUUCCGUUAGAUCCACCUGCUUAACAGAUGGGCUGCGGAGGAUACUAUAGAGCUAGGAGGCGGGAGAGGCAAGCGGUACUUAGUGGGUAGGGGUAAAAUCCGUUGAUCCAUUGAAGACCACCAGUGGCGAAGGCGGCUUGCCAGAACGCACUCGACGGUGAGGGAUGAAAGCUGGGGGAGCAAACCGG
This 253-nucleotide ribosomal RNA is filed under the name uncultured bacterium. RNAcentral describes it as "partial 16S ribosomal RNA". It matches the Rfam family "Archaeal small subunit ribosomal RNA", at positions 474 to 727 of the family's 1478-position model. The record is from RNAcentral.